This 578-nucleotide ribosomal RNA is filed under the name uncultured bacterium. RNAcentral's name for it is "partial 16S ribosomal RNA". It matches the Rfam family "Bacterial small subunit ribosomal RNA", at positions 355 to 932 of the family's 1533-position model. The record is from RNAcentral.
UGGGGAAUUUUGGACAAUGGGCGAAAGCCUGAUCCAGCAAUGCCGCGUGUGUGAAGAAGGCCUUCGGGUUGUAAAGCACUUUUGUCCGGAAAGAAAUCCUUGGCUCUAAUACAGUCGGGGGAUGACGGUACCGGAAGAAUAAGCACCGGCUAACUACGUGCCAGCAGCCGCGGUAAUACGUAGGGUGCAAGCGUUAAUCGGAAUUACUGGGCGUAAAGCGUGCGCAGGCGGUUUGCUAAGACCGAUGUGAAAUCCCCGGGCUCAACCUGGGAACUGCAUUGGUGACUGGCAGGCUAGAGUAUGGCAGAGGGGGGUAGAAUUCCACGUGUAGCAGUGAAAUGCGUAGAGAUGUGGAGGAAUACCGAUGGCGAAGGCAGCCCCCUGGGCCAAUACUGACGCUCAUGCACGAAAGCGUGGGGAGCAAACAGGAUUAGAUACCCUGGUAGUCCACGCCCUAAACGAUGUCAACUAGUUGUUGGGGAUUCAUUUCCUUAGUAACGUAGCUAACGCGUGAAGUUGACCGCCUGGGGAGUACGGUCGCAAGAUUAAACUCAAAUGAAUUGACGGGGUCAUAGCUG